Molecule: ribosomal RNA, 467 nt
Filed under: uncultured bacterium
Lineage: Bacteria
Description: partial 16S ribosomal RNA
Rfam family: Bacterial small subunit ribosomal RNA
Source: RNAcentral
GAUGAACGCUGGCGGCGCGCCUAACACAUACAAGUCGAACGAUUAAAGCACCUUCGGGUGUGUAUAAAGUGGCGAACGGCUGAGUAACACGUGGGCAACCUGCCCCUUUCAUUGGGAUAGCCACGGGAAACCGUGGAUAAUACCGAAUACUUCGAGACUUCCGCAUGGAAGACUCGAGAAAGCUCCGGCGGAGAGGGAUGGGCCCGCGGCCUGUUAGCUUGUUGGUGGGGUAGCGGCCUACCAAGGCAAUGAUGGGUAGCUGGGUUGAGAGACCGACCAGCCAGAUUGGGACUGAGACACGGCCCAGACUCCUACGGGAGGCAGCAGUGGGGAAUCUUGCACAAUGGGCGAAAGCCUGAUGCAGCGACGCCGCGUGCGGGAUGAAGGCCUUCGGGUUGUAAACCGCUUUCAGCAGGGACGAGGCGAAAGUGACGGUACCUGCAGAAGAAGCCCCGGCUAACUACGUG